RNAcentral lists this long non-coding RNA (5154 nucleotides) under Bos indicus x Bos taurus (hybrid cattle). RNAcentral describes it as "lncRNA (ENSBIXG00000027461.1)". The record is from RNAcentral. Lineage: Eukaryota; Metazoa; Chordata; Mammalia; Artiodactyla; Bovidae.
UCUACACCCUGUCAAACAAGAAAGCUGAUUCCUAGGAGCGUGCAAGAAGUCUGCUGGAAGGUAAGAUUUCUGCACACCCAUCUUUUUCACUCUUUUUUUUCACUCUUUCUGGACUUUUUGAGGGUGAGUCCCACGUCUGAAUCAUCUUCAUCUCUCUCCACUUUUGUCUCUCUCCAAUCACCUUUGUCGUAAUCACCUUUGUCCAAUCACCAAUGUGUCGCUGGGCACAUACAGGUGCUCAGUGAACGUUCCUUGAAUGGCUGUGUAUAGGAAUAGCCUGAAGUUCAUGGAAAUAGAAGUGGCUUUUCAAACUACCUCACCCUGAGUCCCUCCAGAAAAGACUUACCAAAUCUAAUUAAUUCAAUUAAUAAGCAGAAUUCUGCCAGGUACGAGGCAUUCGGAAAUACAAAUCUCAUGGUGAGAGAUGGAGGGGAAGCUCAUGAUGGGUGGAUGUACUUCAAAUUCAACAACCCGCAGUUACAGCUCCAUUUUCUGGGAAGCAAAACCACUCGGUGGCCCCAGGGCCCUUUAAAUUUUACCGUGACUGUUUUCUUAAGAAAUUCCUGGAGUAGAGCCUAAAUUUUAUGUAGGGGGUUGGCAUAUUCGUGGCCUAAGGGACGGUUGGCAGAAGGGGUGCCUAGAGUUCGCAAGGGAAGGAAACUGCUGAGGAGUCAGAGCAGCCCUGUGGAGGGUCGCUGAGUGGGGGACCCGAGAGUCCUUGAACUUCCAAAGCUUCGGGGAAUUCGAGGAAGGGACCCUGAGGGGUGGCCAAGGCUGCCAGAUGUCUGCUGGGUUUCAAUGCUGCCGACUUUUCUCCUCUGUCGGCCCAAGCUCGACCCGGGUUCAGCAGCCAGACCAGGGAACAGCCAGGGCAUCUGGGCAGGAGGGAGGCGGGCCGGCCUGGAGGAAGGAGUCCUGGGCCGCCGCCGCCGCCCCGCCCGUCGGGCUGUCCGCCCCGCCUACCCCGAGCGAGGCGGAGCCGGCCCCCGCCCGGAGGAGCAGCAGGAGGAGGAGAGGUCGGAGUCGUCUCCAGGAGCCCUUAGAGACAGAGUCCCCGGCAGCGGCGGUGGCGGCAGGGGCAGCGCACCGGCAGGCGAGUGAGCACCGAGCGGCGGGCGCAGAUUCAUUCCAUCACCUAAAACCUGGUGACGGUGGGCCAUAUAGAGUCUUGCUGGUGAAAACCAUUAACUGAAGAUGUCGAGCAAGACAGCCAGUACCAACAACAUUGCCCAGGCACGGAGGACUGUGCAGCAGUUGAGAAUGGAAGCCUCCAUUGAGAGAAUAAAGGUUUCAAAGGCAUCAGCAGACCUCAUGUCCUACUGUGAGGAACAUGCCAGGAAUGACCCUCUGCUGAUGGGGAUACCAACUUCAGAAAACCCCUUCAAGGAUAAGAAGACCUGCACCAUCUUAUAGAGAAGUAGUGAAGUGGAUCCUCCCCUCUUCUCAACAAAGCAAAUGAUGAGCAGCUCCUUGAAAAGAUUUACCUUCAGCUUAUUUGGUAACCACUGCUAAUAACUAAAAUGCUCUUAACUUGGAGUUAUGGACUCUGAAGUCUUUACCUUCCAAGUUUUUCUUUCCUUUUACUGAAUUAAUACAGAAUAAUAAUCUUGUUUCCCAUUUGUUAACUAUGGUGUCCUAUUAGUUACUGCUGAAGGAAAAGUUGGUCUGGCCUUUAUAAAGAAAACAAAUAUAUCAGUGAUCCAGUUAAAACCUAAAUUACCUAAGCAGUCGUCUAGAUUAAAAUGCCAAGGAUAACUGGUCCUAAAAUUUUUGUCGUAGUCUAUUCUUAAGAGUUGUGCCAAUCUGUAUAGUAUAUGUGGAUGAGAAAUGUUUUGUGUAUAUAUAUGUGUGUGUUUGUAUAUACACAUCUCAAAGCUUAUUUCCCAAUUAAAAUGUCUCUCCCUCCAUACUAUCAGUUCGACUCAAGAAGUUAUACCUUUAUCUCAAGCUGUGUGUAGGUAGAAUUAAAUUCUUUUCUUGUCGUUAUUGUACAAAAAGAACACCCUACAGCCUAUAUUCAUCGUAGUUGAGUAAUGAAGUCAUCUCUCUCCUCUUGAAACCGUGCUGACCUGCCAAUCAAAAUUUUUAAACUGAACUAAAAGCCCUUUUAUAAUAUGAGCAUUCUUUCACCAAGGGAUUUCAGGUUUCAGCAAUCCUGAAUCUAUGUAGGAAAUGGGAGGCAGCCCUUGGGGGCACCCUAGGCAGCUGUGCCCCAGGGCUCAUGGUCUCUGAACCAGGGGUAGACACCUGAAAUUCCUACUGUAACGAUGGGAACUAGACAGAGCGGCCAUGAGCCCGGCCAAGAGAAGAGCAGGAAUGCGUGAAAACCAGCUGCUCUUUGUGGCCUAACUUUGUGAUUUAGCUCACUUUCUCUGCCUUCCCUCUUAUCUUUCCUCUGCAGCCAGAUCAUGUCUUCAGAAUUAAUGUCCACCUCCCCAUCCCCAAAUGGGUAGAUCAUGGUGGGAAAGAAAUAUACAAAGAAUGUAAAGGUAUCGGACACAUAAGCUCUUUUCAAGUAUCUGCAGCAUCUGCAUCAUCCCUGCCUGGUCCUCACACCAUCAGAGGGGCUUGUUUCACUACUUGGGCUCACAGUUCCUUGAUUUUCCUCUGGGCCUGGAUAUUACUGCCACACACACCCAGAAUGGCUAGUGGGGAUCCCCAAAGAAGGUUGUCUCCUGUGGCAGAGGGCAUACUGUUAACUAAGAGGAGGAGAGGGUAUUCCUAAACACUUAUUUAUGGGCCCAAACCAUGCACCAGGCCUUUGAUAUUUUAAUUCAAAUUCCAUUCAUUAAAAAUUACUAAUGAAAAGUUAAAAGUAUUCUCAGAAAGGAUUCAACCCCAAGAAGGAAUUAUUUACAAUGGUUUUUCCCUAGUUCUGUACAAUCUUGCCCUGCAGUGCAAGCCUGUUUUUAAAUCUAACACCUAAGCUUUGAGUAUUAUGUUAAUUGUGGGUGAACAAAUACAGUACUGUUUUCAGACUGCUCAAAUCUAUUCCGUAUUUCUGCAAGUCACCUAUCUAGCAUUGUGAACUGCCCUCACUCCUCCAGGAUCAUGUGGAAAUCAUGCCACUGCCCUUACCUUCUUGUCAUCCACACUUGGUUCUGCAAAGGGCCCAGUUUCCAAGUAUAUUAUAGGCACCGUUGGUGGAGAAAGGUUUUUCCUUUCAAAAGGUGAAAUUUGAAAUAUACAUUAAGAAGACAACUUUACAUGUACUGCAUCACUUAAUGAGACAUUCUUUUUUUUUUAAUAGGUGUAUUUUUCUACUGAUAAGUUUCAGAACACUAAUCUUAUUUUCACUCUGAUUUUUACCAUGUUCCUUUGAAUAUUUAUAAUGUAGCUUGUUACAAAAUAUUUUCAUGAAAUUACUUUUAUUAUACUGUUAUAUACACAUUUUUGGUAGCAAGCAUAGUUUAUUCUUUCGUACUAAAACAUGUUCUUUUCCCUAUUAGAAAACAAGUAUGGUUUGCUAUAUAUUUGUUAAUAUGCUUGUAGUGGUAAGGAAUGGACUUGAGGUCCCAGGAGAUUUUUUUUAUUUUUGCUAGCCAGAUAUCAUAAAGGCUACAAGUAUGAACAUCAUAUAACUUCCUGACCAGGUGUAGGGCAUGUUUAAGAAAAGUGAUAUCAAGUCCUUUGAUGCUGGACCCAAGGGGGAAAAAUUGUAGCUAAGUGUUGAUUUACUUAUUAUGAGACGUCUAUGUGAGAAAAAUAUAAUAUAUGUAUACAUAUAUAUGAUAUGCAGAAGUCACUUUUAUUUAUCAGGCUUUAUUCUACUAGUAAAGCCACAGUUUAACUAUUAGACAGCAGCUGGUUAUAAUGAUGGACAAAUGCCCAAUGUGUUUUAUUUUUUCCAAACUACCACUAUAAUGACACAAUCACUUAAGUACAUGCAACUUCCUGGCUUCAUAUCUAUGAGGCUAUUUAAAUAUGUUCACUAUACUUUGUCUUUAAUUCUGCCUCUAUUAACAGUGAUCUCUUUUUCCAUUCUUGAUUCUUCUUUAGUUCAUCAUUAAUCUGUCCAAUUGACGCCUCAGGACCAUGGCAAGAAUUUCAUGACUCCAAAGUAUUUUACAGACACACACUUUUUUUUUUUUUUUUUAACAGAGAGAAACACUUUCUAUACCAUGUGGUUCACAAGCUGUAGGUUUUUUCUAAAAAGAAUCAGGUUUUUACAUUUCCUUAUUAUUAAAAUAAAAAGUGCCAUACUUACCCCUUAAAGCAAAGACCUAAUUUGCUUUCUCUCUAUUGGGACUAUUUUUGUACUUUACUAAUCUUUUAACUAUCCAAAAAAAAAUUAUACCAAUGAUUUAGUAAUUUUGAGGCAUAAGUUAGUUUAGGUAGUGGAAGAUGUGCCAAACUUUCCCUCCAGAUGCCUUUGUCUCAAUUUGCAACUAAGGUAGCGUCAUCUGAGUGAUUACACUGAAUUUUACUAAGAAGUGAAUCACAGUACAUGUCAGUCCUUUCUCAAUAAAUGUAAUACCAGAGUGUGUUAUGACUGUAGACUUUUUAUGGUAGAUCUGUUAAUAGAAAAAAAAAAUAUAUUGAAUUAAGUAGAGUUAUCUGUAUGUUAAAAUAGAGCACUUACCUAGAGCUGGGUGUCCUGGAUCGCUGUCUAGCCAAUCCUGUGUUCCUGUGUUGUGUGACUUUGGACAAGGCACUCCAUCUCUCUGAGCCUCCAUUUCACCAUCUGUAAAAUAAGGGGCUUGAAGUAGCUGAUGGCUGAUACCCUCCUGUUCCGUCCAGUGGCCUACCCCUCUACUGGUCCUGCCAACAUGUUGGUGCUAUACGCUGCUUCAAAUAUAAAAUUGGUUUGUCUAUUGUGUGUGCUCAUUUAAUAGCUUAUGAAAGGCCUUUUUGUUAUAUGGCUUUUUUUUUCUAGUUUUAUGAACUUGAUUACUGUAAUAAAGUCUUGUUUGUAGCCAUGUAACUAUAAACAUAGUCUCUUGAUGUCAGUAAAUUUGCAUUUGAUAUAUUAGUUGAUGGAAUUGUUGUUUUAGGACAUUCUUUGACUACUUAUCUGUCCAGCAUCUUAUUAACCUAAAUAUUGUGAUCGUUGUUUGGAAAUCUGUUCUCUGGAAAGAAUAAAAGCAUUUACUUCACAGCUAAUGUGUUUGCAGAUUUGAAAAACAGUUUCAUUAAAGCACCAUUGCUCUCUUU